CCCUUAGAUGUUCUGGGCAGCACGCGCGCUACAAUGGUCUUCGCAAACGGAUGCAUUCUCGAAGGAGAAUGCCAAUCUUGGAAUCUAUGCCUUGGUCGGGACAGUUGCUUGCAAUUUUUCGACUCGAACCAGGAAUUCCUUGUAAUCGUGAUUCAUCACAUCACGAUGAAUACGUCCCUGCCCUUUGUACACACCCCCGUCGCUCCUACCGAUCGAAGAGUUAGGUGAAUUGUUUUGAUCGAUAAGAUUUGACUAUGGUCAACUCUCGUUGUGAAAUUCUGUGAAUCUGACUGUUUAGAGGAAGGAAAAGUCGUAACA
RNAcentral lists this ribosomal RNA (318 nucleotides) under uncultured eukaryote. Its description in RNAcentral is "partial 18S ribosomal RNA". It matches the Rfam family "Eukaryotic small subunit ribosomal RNA", at positions 1470 to 1796 of the family's 1831-position model. The record is from RNAcentral.